This is a long non-coding RNA of Cyprinus carpio (common carp), 707 nucleotides long. RefSeq lists it as uncharacterized. The record is from RefSeq and is a predicted model, not a curated record. The transcript is spliced from 3 exons. NCBI's taxonomy places the organism in Eukaryota, Metazoa, Chordata, Actinopteri, Cypriniformes, Cyprinidae.
AGAGAUGGAAACUUGAUCAUCAAUAACUUUACAGCCAGUGAUUCAGGAACAUACAAAGUUUUGGGCUCUGAAGGAGAAACCUUGAUCACAGUGACUGUUGAAGGAUCUCGUUCAGGUGGUAAACCCAGGAGUGAUGCUGAACAACACAAGCACUGGAUUGGACCGGCUGGGCUGCCUGGGUUUAUUUGGGUGGUUCUUUGCCUUUUUUAAAAGAAGAAAGAUACACCGAUAUCUGGAUGCAGGUCUGAGAAGGUUCUGCAUUUGAUGAAGAACCAUCUUUAUGACUAUUAAAAAUUAUGUUCUAUAAUAUUAAUGCAAUCCAGAUGUGCUACAUCUGCCAUAUUGUCAUGUGACCUAUCCCGAAAGUAGUAGGACAUCCAGGUUCUUUCUGACAGCUGUUUUAUAAGUAUUACAAGGUUUUAUUGCCAUCUGAAUCCAUAAUGUCAGUGUGUUUCUCCCACCACCCGCAUAUUUCCCUGACUGAAUUACCUACUGUUUUUUUUUUUUAACAAAUAAAAAAGGUCAUGUGGUAAUUUCACUGCUGCCAAAUCCACAUCCGAGUUUACAAGAUGGGAUCAAUUUUAAAUUCACUGUUUAAAUUCUUUUUGGCAGCUCCAUAUGAUAACUGUUGUGCUUUACUGUAAUUUGCAUUAAAGAUCUACACUUUUAUUACUGAAAGAUAUAUAGCAUAUUAUUGCACCAAAGGA